This 402-nucleotide ribosomal RNA is filed under the name uncultured bacterium. RNAcentral's name for it is "bacterial SSU rRNA". It matches the Rfam family "Bacterial small subunit ribosomal RNA", at positions 355 to 774 of the family's 1533-position model. The record is from RNAcentral.
UGGGGAAUAUUGGACAAUGGGCGCAAGCCUGAUCCAGCCAUGCCGCGUGAGUGAUGAAGGCCCUAGGGUUGUAAAGCUCUUUCACCGGUGAAGAUAAUGACGGUAACCGGAGAAGAAGCCCCGGCUAACUUCGUGCCAGCAGCCGCGGUAAUACGACGGGGGCUAGCGUUGUUCGGAAUUACUGGGCGUAAAGCGCACGUAGGCGGAUCGAUCAGUUAGGGGUGAAAUCCCGGGGCUCAACCCCGGAACUGCCUCUAAUACUGUCGAUCUGGAGGUCGAGAGAGGUGAGUGGAAUUCCGAGUGUAGAGGUGAAAUUCGUAGAUAUUCGGAGGAACACCAGUGGCGAAGGCGGCUCACUGGCUCGAUACUGACGCUGAGGUGCGAAAGCGUGGGGAGCAAACA